Sciurus vulgaris (Eurasian red squirrel) is the source of this 104-nucleotide small nuclear RNA. The record is from Ensembl. NCBI's taxonomy places the organism in Eukaryota, Metazoa, Chordata, Mammalia, Rodentia, Sciuridae.
GUGCUCACUCCAGCAGCACAUAUACUAAAAUUGGAACGAUACAGAGAUGAGUAUGGCCCCUGCAUAAGUAUGACUCACAAAUUUGUGAAACAUUCUGUAUUUGU